CAGCCGCCGCGGUAAUACGUAGGGUGCGAGCGUUAAUCGGAACUACUGGGCGUAAAGCGUGCGCAGGCGGUUUGUUAAGACAGGUGUGAAAUCUUCGAGCUUAACUCGGAAACUGCCGUUGAUACUAUCUGUCUUGAAUAACGUUGAGGUGAGCGGAAUAUGUCAUGUAGCGGUGAAAUGCUUAGAUAUGACAUAGAACACCGGUUGCGAAGGCAGCUCACUAAACGCUCAUUGACGCUGAGGCACGAAAGCGUGGGGAUCAAACAGGAUUAGAUACCCGAGUAGUCCCUGUCUCUUAUAA
This 301-nucleotide ribosomal RNA is filed under the name uncultured bacterium. RNAcentral's name for it is "partial 16S ribosomal RNA". It matches the Rfam family "Bacterial small subunit ribosomal RNA", at positions 509 to 809 of the family's 1533-position model. The record is from RNAcentral.